GUUGAUUGGGAAACUCGUCAAUUACACAAUGAACACCGAGACAAUCUCAGUCGCCCAAUGGCGGGCCCCAACCUGUUUUCAGGACGCUUUAAUGCCGGGGGAUUACAAAGGACGGCGGGAACUCAAAACCUGUCUUAUCGGAGUUUCAUCGCAUCCUUUGAUGUGGCUU
Molecule: small RNA, 169 nt
Filed under: human gut metagenome
Description: Bacteroidales-1 6S-Bacteroidales RNA suggested
Rfam family: Bacteroidales-1 6S-Bacteroidales RNA suggested
Source: RNAcentral